GACGAACGCUGGCGGCGUGCCUAACACAUGCAAGUCGAACGGAAAGGCCCUGCUUUUGUGGGGUGCUCGAGUGGCGAACGGGUGAGUAACACGUGAGUAACCUGCCCUUGACUUUGGGAUAACUUCAGGAAACUGGGGCUAAUACCGGAUAGGAGCUCCUGCUGCAUGGUGGGGGUUGGAAAGUUUCGGCGGUUGGGGAUGGACUCGCGGCUUAUCAGCUUGUUGGUGGGGUAGUGGCUUACCAAGGCUUUGACGGGUAGCCGGCCUGAGAGGGUGACCGGCCACAUUGGGACUGAGAUACGGCCCAGACUCCUACGGGAGGCAGCAGUGGGGAAUAUUGCACUAUGGGCGGAAGCCUGAUGCAGCAACGCCGCGUGCGGGAUGACGGCCUUCGGGUUGUAAACCGCUUUCGCCUGUGACGAAGCGUGAGUGACGGUAAUGGGUAAAGAAGCACCGGCUAACUACGUG
This 468-nucleotide ribosomal RNA is filed under the name uncultured bacterium. RNAcentral describes it as "partial 16S ribosomal RNA". It matches the Rfam family "Bacterial small subunit ribosomal RNA", at positions 28 to 507 of the family's 1533-position model. The record is from RNAcentral.